Molecule: long non-coding RNA, 1615 nt
Filed under: Chinchilla lanigera (long-tailed chinchilla)
Lineage: Eukaryota; Metazoa; Chordata; Mammalia; Rodentia; Chinchillidae
Description: lncRNA (ENSCLAG00000022318.1)
Rfam family: tRNA (bases 1498-1552)
Source: RNAcentral
GCAAAAUACUGCUCUUACAACAGCUAGGGUGAAGCUUCCACGUGGACCACAUUCUCCCGAGACGCACACUGAGGCGCACACUGCGGCCACGCCGUGACACAGCACUCGAGGCACAGGCGGAGGCCAGGUCUGGGCUGAGGUGUCUCCACGUCCCCAGAGUACCGUCCGCUCUCAGGUGCUGGGUAUUUAGUCCCAGAGAGGAGGAAAGUGACUAAGACGCCUGUCUCAAAGUGAAGAGGAAAAAGGGCUGGGGCCGCGGCUGGUGAACACUAUUGCCCAGCAUGUGCAAGGUUCCCCUGACUGCGGGGGGGCUUUCCCCGAACACACACGGCGCCCGCUCCGAGGUGCAGCGGUGGGCUCCCUGGUUUGUCUCUCCCUUUGGAGCUGGAUCGGGAGCGAGUGGACACGCUAGCACCACCGCAGCCAGCCCACUCCGCGGCCGGCUGAGCGGGCAUCAGGGCUGCGGGAGGGCUCCAUGGCAAAAAUGUGCCCUCCAAUGCCAGCUGCAGGCCCCGGACAGGCUCACCUGCUCUCUGAUUAGACAUUGCGGUUCCCACAGCCCAGCUCAACAGCUCACAGAACCCAGGGAAACAACAUUUAAGAGUUUAUUUAUUUUCCCCCUGCACUGAGGAUUGAACCCAGGGCCUUCACACUUAGCUAUCCCAGCCUUAGUCUAGUUAAGUUGCUGAACUGCCCAGUCUGGGCUCCAACUUGCAGUCCCCCUGCCUCAGCCUCCCAGAGUGCUGGGACUGCAGGUGUUCGCCUCCAUGUCUGGCUUUACCAGUUUAUUAUGAAGGACAGUACGUGGGGCCAGAUGAAGGGAGGCCGGUGAGGCCUGAGGGGAGGGCGCCCUCCCAGCACCGAGCCUGCUCUGUGGUCCGCAGAUCUGUCUCUGGGUCUGCCUGGAGCACAACCGUGGCACAGCAGCCAGCACAGCGGCGGGACCCGCAAGGUCUGUCUGCCCGGAUUCUUCAGGGAGCCAGCACCAGGGUCUUAUCUGUGCAGGACAAGGUGGGUCAGAGAAGCUCUGCAGGGUGGGGGAGGUAGGUUUCUGCGCCUGGCUUGGGGAGAGAAAGGGCAGGCAGGCCAGAGACUCUGCUUUCGGAGCACCAAACACCCAGCACUGUUCUGCUCACUUAGGCCUAGGGGAGCAGUGAGCCAGGAACCAGGGAUGAAGACUGAAACCCGUCUGCACCACAAAGGAAAGAGCAAAAACAGGUUUCCUAGAGAAGUAGCUGUGCGCCAGACGUCGGGGUCAGCUUCUGCCUAAGGCCUGGGCUUCCAGCCGCCUGGCUUGGCCUACGGGUUUCAGUUUGUCUGCCCCAGGACUGCCAGAGCCAACACUUGAACACAAAUCUUUUCCUAGGCUAGGCGCAGGGAUACAAGCCUGUAAUCCCAGCGACUCCAGAGGCUGAGGCAGGAGUUUCAAAAGUAAAAGCCCAGCCUGGACCCCUUAACAAAACUCUAUCUCAAAAAAAAUCCAAAGGGCCAGGGUGCAGCUCAGUGGUAGAGCAUUGCCUUGUACGCAAGAGACCCUAGGCUCAAUCCCUAGUCCCAUACUAAAUUGAUGAGUAAACACAUAAAGAAAUAAAACUUACUCUGUUUAUGUACAAGA